Long non-coding RNA from Tympanuchus pallidicinctus (lesser prairie-chicken), 3151 nucleotides. RefSeq lists it as uncharacterized. Lineage: Eukaryota; Metazoa; Chordata; Aves; Galliformes; Phasianidae. The transcript has 3 exons. The record is from RefSeq and is a predicted model, not a curated record.
CUUUCAUCGCUGCCAUCACCACAGUUGUUGUAACCAUCACACACGAAGCUGAUGGAGAUGCACGUCUUGUUACUGCACUGGAACUCAUCAGGAGAACAAGCUUGGGAAAAAAAACCAAAACAGAAAUAAAACGAGCUGCUAAUCCUACUGAUCAGCACGUGGCUGUAUGAUUUCUUCAAGUGAUGAAUAAGAUGGAGCUACCAAAUGGAAAACUGAGCUAAAAUCCACAGGGCAUGCAAGGAUAAAGCAAAGUCUGCAGCUUCCAGGCACUUGGGGACUUGCUCAAAUGGGCAGCAGAAGAGGAAAGCUGCUUACAAUCCCUGCACACCGAUGCAAGAGCCAACAUUUUCCUUGGGACCUCCUCUGCACCGUCUGAAGAACCUAAUAAAAAGCAGUGCUAAAAUUACCUUACAUAGGCAGCUGGAGAGAUGAGGAUGGGGGAAGUAAAGUCCCAGGGACAGCUUGCUUCACAUCUCCUUUCAUAAAUCUGUCAAGGUACUGGGGCAGUCCCAUCACUACAGCAUUUCACUGCCUCCAGAGCAUUUUGAUAGAAAUGUCUUGAAUAAUAAUUAAAUGAGCACCAGGGUAUCUUUUCUUUGACGUGAGCAAUUUGCUUAUAUUCUCUGGUUCUGCUACCUGUCCUAUUAAGAGUAUGUCUGUAUGAAACAGAGGAUACAAAUAUUAGCCUUCCUCACUGCCAAAGAAAUUAAUAAAUGUCAUACCCUCAGAUGCAAAGUCUCCUUCAAGUAUGAAGUGAUCCCAGUAGAAAUACUAGAAACGUUUGGCAAGAAGAAGAGUUUAACUCACUGGCUUCAAAGCAGUAAAUAAGCAUAAUUACAAAAGCCAUUUUGUAGGGUACAACAAUCCAUUAAGAUUCUUCAGGUGAUUUAGGAAGAAAACAUCACAUCUCAAUGAAUGCACACUUGCUUUGGCUUAUAGAGAACGUAUAGCAGAGGUACUCUGCAUUAGUUGCUGCCCUGUGCUAUAGUGCAACUGGCACAGCUUUUGCUGGGCAGCCCCCAGCUGCAGCCCUGUCACAUCUCCUGGAGAGUGGAGCAGCAGCAGCCUUUGGGUGGAGGAAGAAAAGAGGCUGUGGUUGUGCAGUUGUGUUUUGGUUCUGUUUCUCUGCCCUGAGCCAGGAUUUAAGCAGAGGCUUUAAUGAGCGCUCCAGUACAGCAGCGACAAUCCUAGCUCACCAAAAAACGGAGAUAACUCUACCAGAAGCUUUUAAAGUGCUUAUAAAGAAAAGCAAAAUGCUGUAAAGACACAGGGCACACUUUAAGAACUGUAAUUUCAAAUAUAUCUCUGUAAUUCUACAAAGCGGAUCCUCAAAUCUGGAUAAAACUCCAUGUGUGACAUAAGCAGGAUAUCCAUCAUUAGUAGGAGCUGGGAAUGGUGUACAAUGGACUGCUUCCGCUGCUAGCUUAAAUUAAGGAUUUGAAGCUUUUCAGUAAGAAUUUGAUAUUUUAAUACACUUUUUUUUUGUCAAAAAAAAAGCAACUUAGCUCCUCUUGAAAUUAUACACGACUUGGAGAAAUAGAACUAUUUGGUAAAGUUUGUGGCAAAGCGGAUGACAGCAAUUACUGACACCAAAGAGAAGAAAAUAAGACAGAUGGUGGCACUGCAGCUUUCCCACACCCUUCCUGAGGCAACCAAAAAGAAACACAGUUCUUGUUUGCUUAAAUCCAACAGCGGAUUUUCUCAGGAAGGCAAGGGGUGAUUUGCACACACUAACAUUCGCAGUGGGGAAAGAGAGAUCUGCUGCUGAUUUAUCACAACUUGAACACUGGCCAGAGAGGCUGUGGACUUGGAAAGCCUUAAGCUGUGAGGUUUAGAAGUGAGCUCCAUCCACACGGCUGCGGCAGCGCAGUGCCUGAGCUCCACGUGCCCAGGUACUGUGCAUAAAGAGCUAAUCCUGCCGCCACAGCCCACAUACAUUAAUCUCCAAGCAGGACUGAGAUAAGGAGGUCACGGAGCCCAGACUGAAUUAAGUUGGAACUCUCAGCCCAGCUACCAACGCUGUCAGUGCGUUAGUUUGACUGAACUAGGAUUUAUUUCCAAGCUUCCCUGUACCUAUAUUGCUUGCUUUGUCUGCUGAAAUCGGUGCGGUUACCGAGCACCUGAAUAUCUGACACAGAUCUCUGGUCAAACGUCAGCCUUUAAAGCACGGGUUCAUCCCUGGAAGGCCAAGUUUCCCACGGAAAGCUGCCCUCCAGGAAGGGCAGGGACAGACAGAGGUAAAUGAAGACGACCUUGAAGCACAUUGCUGGAAGAGCUGACAGGCCUCCCAUGGAGGGAAUAAUGCGGCUGAAUUGCAGUCUCACUGCUAACGGUGGUUGUUGCUAUGGUGAUUGAUACCGAAAAGCCCAUAUAGAUGAAGGCUGCAGAAGGAAUAAGUAAUUCCUGAUAUUGUUCAAAUCACUAAUGGAGCUAAGGAGCCAUUUCAUGCACUCCUGCAAAUUAAGAUUUGCAUGCACUCGCUGCCUUCGCCACACUGCUCCCCUCAAACACCAAGGAGUUAUUUUCCCCUUCACCAUGAUGGUAUUUGUGUAGUAUUGCUUCAUUACAAGGGAGCAGCCAAAUGCCAAAGCUCCUGCUGACACAUAACCAGUGGUUCAGAAAUGUAUUUACUGUUACAGAAUAUAUAUUUCUGGACAAUCGUAUCUUCAUUCAAAGUGCUUUUCUGAAAGUAGAAUUAAUUAUGAGUUCAUAAUUUAUGAAUAGAAGCAGCUUAUGUAAAAAAGAUUUGCAUGCUCUGAACUUCCCCCAUUUACAAUGUCAUUUGGGUGCAACGAGGCUGCAGAACUCAUUCCUUCAGUCUCCUCAAUUUCACUCCCUACUGGGAAAGCGCGAGGAAGUUUAUCACAGGUUUUUCUGGUUAAAUGACAUCACAGUAAGAAGUGACAUCACCAGUAAGAGUCUGGUGUAGAGGAUUUAGGGGCAAAAUAAAACCGCUUAGGGAAAAAAAGGGAUGGUCAGAAUACCAAAGGUAUUGAGCAAAGGUAACCUUUGCUCAAAUCACAGCCACCCCACAGGGAUCUUGUGAGGAUAAAGACCUAUCAUUACUCCUUUAUAUUCUGAUUGAGAUGCAGUCAGCUGAAUCUGAAUGGAGAUGUUUUGUACUUGCCAAAUUUAAAUGGAAAAAAAUAAA